This is a non-coding RNA of Oryctolagus cuniculus (rabbit), 4816 nucleotides long. The record is from RefSeq and is a predicted model, not a curated record. Lineage: Eukaryota; Metazoa; Chordata; Mammalia; Lagomorpha; Leporidae.
AGACACAGAUACAGUGCUUUCAUGUGCUGAUUCCUCCAAGGCUCACAACUGAGUCUGGGCUAAAUCAAACCAGGAGCUGUGGGGCAGGGAUUGUGCUGCAUCAGUUUAAGCUGCUGAUUGGGAGGCUCACAUCAAAUACCAGGAUAGAUUCUAGAGACAUCUACAUGUGGCCAAGACCAACAAAAAUAAAUAUAUUGCUGCAUACAAAAAUUAGCUUCAUCUUAUAUAAGAGGCAAGAUAGACAUAAAGAGAAGAAUGAACUCCCUGACAUCCUUCUUUGUGACCCAGAGCUGAUACCGUUCGGAGAAAUGCACUGUUACAGGUGUGGACUGUGGACUUCACCCUGGAGGAGCAGCAGGACCUGGACACUUUAAAAGGUUUAAUAUUAUCUGUACCCCUUGUGUAGCCCCUGCAUUUCCAGGCAAAAGAAGGAAAUCAUUUUGCUGAUGGAGCAACUGUGUUCAGCAUUAAGCAGCACAAUCCUUUGUCUCUUACCCAGGUGAAAAUACAAAAUCCCCAGGAUAUUCAAACAUGCCGCCUUCUUACAAUUGGUAUGUAGUAAACCCUGCAGGGUUUUUCACCCUGCCAGCCAACAGACAAGAGCAUGUGGGUGGUAAAUCUGAACUGGCUCUUCCUGGGCUUGGCUUACAUGCACAGCAGGGGUUGUAUGACUGUCCCAGAGGCAUCAGCAGAGUCCAAAGAGGAUCCAUAUGUGAGUAUGGUGGUUGAGAGCAAGGUUCAGAGAUUGUAGGGUCUUGGUGGGGAGACAUCCUUGCCACAUGCUAGCAUCACAGCACUGCUUCUUUCCUACAUGAAGAUGGGGAGAAUUACCCCUUCCUGUCUCCACCUUCUCCAUUUUACUGUUUAUUUCUUCUGCUUUCUUGUUUUGCCUUGAGUUUUCUCUGAAAAUUUUUUUAGCUUCAAAUAUUAGAAUUAUAGCUAUGCCACAGUGCUGGCCCCUCAAGUUUUAUCCUGCUAUGGAAUGCAUGGAACAUUUCUCUUUGUAUUAAUACAAAAAAGUUUUUAAAAAUGUUUUAAUCCUAUACAGAUUAUAUUGGCUCAAUAGGCUAAUCCUCUGCCUAGUGGCGCUGGCACACCGGGUUCUAGUCCCAGUGGGGGUGCUGGAUUCUGUCCCGGUUGCCCCUCUUCCAGGCCAGCUCUCUGCUGUGGCCAGGGAGUGCAGUGGAGGAUGGCCCAAGUGCCUGGGCCCUGCACCCCAUGGGAGACCAGGAGAAACACCUGGCUCCUGCCUUCCGAUCAGUGUGGUGCGCCAGCCGCAGUGCGCUGCCCACGGUGGCCAUUGGAGGGUGAACCAAUGGCAAAGGAAGACCUUUCUUUCUGUCUCUGUCUCUCUCUCAGUGUCCACUCUGUCUGUCCAAAAAAAAAAAGAAAAAAAGGAAUCCUAAUGGAGACUGGGAAUGGGAGAGGGAGGAGGAAAAGGAGGGAGUAGGGGUGGGAGAGUGGAUAUGGUGGGACGAAUCACUCUGUUCUUAAAGAUGUACUCAUGAAAUUUAUGUUCACUAAAUAAAAUGUUUCUAAAAAAAAAAAAAGAUAUGCUAGUGCCAUUGCUCCCCAGUCUUCCCUUAAGCUAAUAAAAAUGACUAAAUAAAGAAUGAAUCCUUAAGACAAAAAAAGACACGUUGAAUAUAAUUUGCCAGUGCCUUAUGUGCAAAAUCACAUUCUCCAGUUCUAUGUAAAGAACGAAGAUGAAUAGCCAGUGUUCAUACAAAUAGAACAGAGAUUGGACUAGUUUCAGUGAAAGUUUGGGAAACUCACAGAUUUCUGUAUAUCUCUUCCAUGUUUCUUGAACCCAAGGAAGUCCCAAUGUAUGUCUUUAAUCUUUAUCCCAAUAAAAACUCAGACCAUCAACAUCCCUCUUUCCUAACUCAAGUCAGUGUGAGUGUUCACCCUUACCUCAUCUGAGACAUAAGGCCUGGGUGAGGACUUUGAGCUUAACCUUCAGUUCUAAGAUACCUGGUAACAGUGCUGUUGCUUCCAAAGAUUCUGGAGGAGUUACUGCUGUGUGUUCAAUGGUUGGAUCUCCUUGUCUUCGAAGCUGUUUCCAUCCUUUAUUGUUUAAGGUCUGUAGUCUUUAAAGCAAAGGGCCUUUCUUCCAUGGGACAUUUUGGUGUCUAUAACAUCAUUCACAGGACAUACAAAAUUAUGAACUUAAGAUUUAUUUUGUAUAGAUUGAAUAUCAAGUCCCAUUUGUAGUUGCCUUGGCAACUUAAGAUUUAGUGGGUAUAGAUUGAAUAUUGAAUCCCAUUUGUAGUUGCCUUGGCAGGGUCAGACCAAAUGAUUCUAUGGGCUUUAUGUGGCUAGCGUAUGGAAGUCCUCCACCCCUGCUAAAGGGCCAUUAGAAUAGCCUGCUGGGACACAUUUGUUCAAUACAUGUAAUCAUUCACAUUUAUUGUCUCUAGAGGGGCCCGUGGACAAUGUGGCUGGAUUAAAAAAAAAAAGGCUUUUUUUCUUUUAGUAAUAUUUCAGUUAUCAAAUAGUAUGGCUUAGACUCUCCCAAAUAGCCAGAAAUGAGCCAGUAGCCUUCCUUUUUCCAGAAGUGAGCCCAGUAUGCACAGUGAGCAGUAUGCACAGUGGUAAAAAACUGCCCAAAUGUGAACUGUUGUGUCUAAUUCAGUGAACAAGUGGCUGUAAUUCUUAGACAUGUCAGCUAGCCUUGGGUGACCAAGUCCACAUCUUACAGUAUCAGCCCCUUUAUGUUUUUUAGGAUUUUAUUUUAUUUGAGAGGUAGAGUUACAGACAGUGAGAGGAAAAGACAGGGAGAAAGGUCUUCCUUCCUUUGGUUCACUCCCCAAAUGGCUGCAACAGCUGGAGCUGUGCCAAUCGGAAGCUUCUUCCCAGUCUCCCCAUGGGUUCAGGGGCCCAAGGACUUGGGCCAUCUUCUACUGCUUUCCCGGUCCAUAGCAGAGAGGUAGAUUGGAAGAGGAGCAGCUGGGACUAGAACUGGCACCCAUAUGGGAUGCCAGUGCCACAGGCAGAGGAUUAACCUACUGUGCCAUGGGGCUGGCCCCAGUUUCUUUGUUUUUGCUGGAGCUGCAAGUUGGGGCUUUAACCCACUCUGCCAUAGCACUGGCCCCUCCAUUACCAGUUUAUGGGAUUUUUAGUUUUUUUCUUUCCCUCAAAGUUCUGGAAAUUCUUGUCUAAAGUAGCCAAAAAUCUGUAUUCAGGAACAUUUUCUGUGAAAUUGAUUACAAGUGUUUUUAGAGAAGAAUACAAAACUAUGGAUGACAGAAGUCUUUAAAUAAACAUAGUUAAAAUUAUGAAAUUGAUUAAUUGACAUGAGCCAUUUAUGUUCAUUCCAUACAGGAUGUUACAAAGCAACUAAAGAGGGACCAGCAUUGUGGCAUUGCAGGUGAAGCUACUGCCUAUGAUGCUGGCAUCCCCUAUGGGUUACACUUCGAGUCCUGGUUGCUCCACUCUGAUCCUGCUCCCUGCUAAUGCACCUGGGAAAGCAGCAGAGGAUGGCGAAGUGUCUGCUCCUGUACCCAUUUGGGAGAACUUGAAUUAUGACCAUAUUGCCUGGCUUCAGCCUGGUUUAGCUUUGGUCAUUGUGGCCCUUUGGAGUGUGAACCAACAGAAGAAAUCCAAUCUCUCUCUCUCUCUCUCUCCUCCUUUCUGGAAUUCUGCCUUCAAAUAAGUAGAUACAUCUUUAAAAAGGAAAGAAAGAAACUGAAGGAUUUUACAUACCUAUUGUCCCUUUUAGGACUCUGGGUCUCCUUUUUAUGAAGAUAACCAUCAUGACUACUAACAACGCAACAGAACUAUCAGAUUUUAAAAUUUAUAUUACUUCUAGGACAUUUAUAUCAAUGACAUAUCUAUAUAAAUAUAAUUUAACAUUGAGCAUAAUUUCAUGACAGUACUUUCCUAAAAUGCAAGUUGCAUAAUAAACUAUUACCUCUAAAAGAUAAGACAUAUAUCCUUUGACACAUCAAGGGUUCCUGCUGAAAAUCUCAAAGUGAAAAAAUUUAGAACCUUGAUUCUGGGAAAGUCUCAGGAUGUCAAAAUGGCUUAAAAUAUUUGGUCAAAAUAGGCUCACAUAAUUUUGAAAUAGCAUCCAUCUGCUUAGUGUGAUUCAACCAGUUCUAAACCAGAUUUACUCAUAAAUCUGAUUUUAUAAAACAAGUAUAUAUACAACUUUUAACUCUUAUGACUCAGCUUUUUCCAAACAAUUCUGAUUGUUUGCUAAGGCACAACAUUUGUGAUUUUUGGUCAGUCACCAAAGUGGAAGUAAAAACCUUGAAUAGAAAAAUAGCAUAUAAAAUAACCCAUUAUUAGAAAAAUUUAAGAGUCACAACCAGGAAGGAGAAGAAAGAUUAAGGAAGCUGAUUAGAAAAUUCACAGAUGAUUAAAAACUAAGCAAGAAUUCUUAAAAGGAGAUGCUGCAGUUUUUGUUUUUUUUUUUUUUUUUUUAAACAAAAGAUUCCAUGACCAGCACUAUGGCAUAGCACGUGAAGCUGCCAACUGCAGUGCCAGCAUCUCAUUUGGUCACUAAUUUGAGUCACAGCUGCUCCACUUCUGAUUCAGCUCUCUGCUAUGGCUGGGAAAGCAGUAGAAGAUGGCCCAUGUCCUUGGGCCCCUGCAUUCAUGUUGGAGACCUGGAGGAAGAUGCUACCUCUUGGCUCCUGGCUCAGCUCUGGCAAUUGAGGACAUCUGGGGAGUGAACAAGAGGAUGGAAGAUCUCUCUCUCUCCUCUGCCUCUCUGGAACUCUGCCUUUCAAAUAAAUCAAUAAAUCUUUAAAAAAAAAUAUUCCAAAAUUAAAGUCCAAGGCUAUUUCCAGAUAUUUUCUAACAUAUCAAU